Molecule: ribosomal RNA, 119 nt
Filed under: Triticum dicoccoides
Lineage: Eukaryota; Viridiplantae; Streptophyta; Magnoliopsida; Poales; Poaceae
Source: RNAcentral
GGAUGCGAUCAUACCAGCACUAAAGCACCGGAUCCCAUCAAAACUCCGAAGUUAAGCAUGCUUGGGCGAGAGUAGUACUAGGAUGGGUGACCUCCUAGGAAGUCCUCGUGUUGCAUUCC